Molecule: ribosomal RNA, 450 nt
Filed under: uncultured Glomus
Lineage: Eukaryota; Fungi; Glomeromycota; Glomeromycetes; Glomerales; Glomeraceae
Description: SSU rRNA
Rfam family: Eukaryotic small subunit ribosomal RNA
Source: RNAcentral
AGCAGCCGCGGUAAUUCCAGCUCCAAUAGCGUAUAUUAAAGUUGUUGCAGUUAAAAAGCUCGUAGUUGAAUUUCGGGAUCAAUACGUCGGUCGUGCUUAGGUACGUACUGGCGUAAUUGAUUUCUCCCUUCUGACGAACCAUGAUGUCAUUAACUUGGUGUCAUGGGAAAUCAGGACUGUUACUUUGAAAAAUUAGAGUGUUUAAAGCAGGCUCACGCUUGAAUACAUUAGCAUGGAAUAAUGAAAUAGGACGUUCGAUCCUAUUUUGUUGGUUUUUAGGAUCAACGUAAUGAUUAAUAGGGAUAGUUGGGGGCAUUAGUAUUCAAUUGUCAGAGGUGAAAUUCUUGGAUUUAUUGAAGACUAACUACUGCGAAAGCAUUUGCCAAGGAUGUUUUCAUUAACCAAGAACGAAAGUUAGGGGAUCGAAGACGAUCAGAUACCGUCGUAGUC